UUUUUUUUUUUUUUAAUUCUGACACUUUGUGAAAUAGUUUUUAUUCCUCGUCUUCAUGUGCUUGUUGGCACUGGCGGAACCACUCUGACUCUUGCUGGGUCCGGGACAUUUUUAGCCCCUGAGAUGCACCCCUCUGUGGCACUAGGUGUGAUGCUGCCCUGGAAAUUGUGUCCCAUGAGCCUUCGUCAGCUCAGGCUGCCGCACAAAACACAGGAGACCUUGGGGCUUAAACAGCAGAGGUGUAUUUUCUCGCCGUUCUGGAGGCUGGCUGGGUCGGGUUCUGAUGAGGGCUCCCUUCCGGGCGUAAGUCCUCCAUGACCUCUCCUUAGCGGGAAGAUCUCGUAUUUUUCUUAUAAAGCCCCAUCAUAUUGAAUUAGGAUUCCACCCUUAGAGCCUCAUGUAACCUCAGUUACCUCCUAAAAGUCCUAUCUCCAAAUAAACUCACGCUGGGGGUUAGGGCUUCAAGACACACAUUUUGGGGGGAUGUCCUUCAGUCCGUAGCAUCAAGGCACAAGGCUCAAUACAUACAACAUUCGGCGGGAUCUUAGCCUUGGCCUUGUACGUGUGUGUCUGUGAUCCCUACACUGUCAGGGCUUCCUCUUGCUUCAGGCUCUUUACGAGGCUUGUCCACACAGACGUCAGAACUCGCACUGUGAGUCGUACCCCUCAGAGUCAUUACGAAAUCCGUGUCAGGUUUAUUUGCCUCCUCUUACCAGUUCUGUCGGGUGACCUCUCCAAGCAUCACAGACAGGAACUGACUGAGGUCUUGGCUCAUGUGUCGUCACCAAACAGCGCUUUAUGAUUCAAAGUAGAGCCAUGGAGACUGUUCCCUAAGAUCUGAACCAGACCUGGGAACCUCCAUAUGCCUCGGGAGUGGCCCAAGAAAUAGCAAAAAAAAAAAAAAAAAAGACAAAAACAAAAAAAAAAUAACUGAACUCUGAGUCUGUCCUUUAUCUCUCCCAACAAGUCCUGCUCAUUCAUCUCAUCUCAGAAAUUCAGAAAGAGCAAGGGCAGGUGGGAGUCCUUGGCUCACCCUUGCACCUGGAUGGGUUCUCUUCUUCCUGGAGCUGUGGCCCCUUUUUAUAGCCUCACUAGGCUCUGGGGAGAAGUAAUGGGAGGAGAGAAGUGCCGUGACACCGCCGAGAUCUUUUGGUAGAGAGAGUCCUGCGUCCAGAACCCUUCUCGCUGCAUCGUAUCAACCCUAAGAGCUGGAGGCGCCUCUUCUGUGUAGGGGGCCACCCUGGAGGUCCAGCCUCUCUCCUUCCUGAGCGGGGGCAGGGAGGAGGGUUCCACCCCCACCCCCACCCAGUGCCCGGCUUAUGCAGGAACCACGUUCCUCUCCCUCUUGCCUUAAAUAAGGGUUUUAGUGGUCUGCCAGCUUAUUCAUCUAUUGUAUUUAUGGAAACCACUAAAGACUUCACAAAAGGACUUAAUUCAACACGAAGUUCUAUCUUGGAAGAAAUUUGUUUAAUAGUGCAGGGAAAAUUGGGCUUUUAAUACGGGAGGAGCAGAGCUGCUCUGUAACUUAGAAAACGGAAACAGAGAUAAGAAGUAGCAGGGAAGCCACAAGGUUCAGAAGGACGGCGAUUCAGGGUCAUGGCGGAGUCAAGCCCAGGUCAAGGUCUCCAGGGUCCACGGCUGCCCUGGCAAAGCCAGGGCACAGCAAAGGCCAGCUCAGCAUCCGGUGGUCUUGGGUUGGCAGCAGGACCCGGAGCUUGGAUUGACAGGAUGGAUCAGUGUUCAUCCCCAAGCCUGGGGGCCCUGGGGGCCGGGACUGUUGCAGCCACUGGGCAUCUUGGGCACAGUUGUCUGCCCAGAGUCAGCUCUUUAAUGGUGGCUUCCUGGCAGGGUGGCCUAGGCCUCUGACUGAGUAGAGGGGGAGGCGGCCUUUGGGGGAAAUGCAGGGUGGGCUGGGGGCUCUUCCAGUGAAGAGGAAAGUGCUCUGGAAGCAGAGAGCCCUGAGUUCAACCUGCUUCUGCUCUUUGUGGGCCGUGUGGAUUCAGGCCAGUUCGUGCAUCUCCCCGAACCUCGGUUUUCCCAGCAGAGGGAGUCCUGGCCCCCUGUGCUCCUGUGGAUGAGAAGCAUCGCCUCCGGUUACCCAGCCUUAGCGACGUGCCCAGUGCUUGAACUGGACCGUCUUCUGUAAUAAGACAGUUUCUAAAGGCCCAGCUGAGCAGCUCACCCUGGGCGACACUCCGUCAGGGCCAUGUCCCCUUAGAGCCGGGCAGCGACUGAUUCCCGAAGCAGCCGCGAGCCUUCCAUCCCGCCUCGGUGCCCCAUGCGCCAGGGCUUGGCAGGCCCUCAGCCCAGAGCCUCUCACCAGCGGGGACCCUCCUUGGCGUCGAGCAUCAGCCAGGGCCUGGGAUAGAAGAUGCGCGUCAUCACAGAUGCUGCAGGGAGAGAGGACGACAGAGAAGCGAAGAGAUAAGAACUCGAGGGAAGGUUUUCUUUCAAUUAAGAAAGGCAGUGAUUCUUCCCAUCACGAGAGUCUUGCUAGGAAUAUUGUUGCGUUGGUUUGUUAAAGAGGAAAUACGGUAUCUGCAGUGUGAACGCUGCCCGGCAGUCCCUGCCCCCCCUACCCCCAUGACCUUCCCCCCCCUCGGCUCAGAACCCGCUGCAUCCUGAAGCCUCCUGUGGGGGGAGGGGGAGCUCAGAGACCUGCCACUGGGGAGUAAAGGCAGGUCCUACACUGCCACUGGGUCCUCACAGGCCUGCUGUGGGGGUGGGGGGAUGGCUUGGGGUGUCAGAUGGGGGAGGGGGGAAGGGCUGGGCCCAUUGAGGUCUCUCAUACACACCCAGUCCACACACGUGCACAUGGGCGCACACGUGUGUGCUUCUUCUGCCUCUGCUGGACUUCCAACCAGAACCUGGAGGGCUUCUUUUGCUCCAAAUUUCAAUCCUGCUUCUUUCCUUGCUUUGUAAACAGCUAAGACCUCACCUUUGAAGCAGUGUCAGGUUCAGAGCCAAAGUCAAGGGAAUCUACAGAGACGCUUCCCAUUUAGCCUCGCCCUCACACUCAUAGCCCCCCCCCAUUAUCGACACCCCCAGAGGGGUGCCUCUGUAAUAAUGGAUGAACCCAUCUUGACUCAUAAUGGCCCCAAGUCCAUUGCUGAUCACUCCUGGUGCUGGACAUUCCAUGGGUUUGGACAAAUGUCUAAUGACACCCAUCCACCACUGUGGUGUGGUGUGGUGUGGUGUGGUGUGGUGUGGUGUGGUGUGGUGUGGUGUGGUAUGGUGUGGGGCAGAGUGUAUUCGCUGCCCUGAAUAGCCUCUAUGCUCUGCCUGUUAAUCCCCAGCGCCCCCCCCCCGCCCCCGCCCCAGCCCUUGGAGACCAUGGAUUUUUUUCACUCUCUCCUUAGUUUGGCCUUUUCUAGGACAUCACCUAGUUGGGUCACAUAGCGCGUAGCCUUUUCAGAUUGAAUUCUUUCACUCGGUCCAAUGCAUUUAUGUUUCCUCUGUGUCUUUUCAUGGCUUAAUAGCUCGUUUCUCUUUAGCACUGAACAGUAUUCCCCUUUCUUGAUGCCCCACAAUUCGUUUAUCCAUCCACCGACUGAAGGAUAUUUUGGUUGCUUCCAAAUUUUGGCCUUCGCGAAUAAUACUGCUCUAAAUACUCAUGGGCAAGGUUUUGGCGUGGAUGCGAGUUUGCAGCUCCUUUGAGUAAAUACCAAGGACUGUGACUGCUAGAUCAUAUGGCAAGAGUAUGUUCAGUUUUGCAAAGGAAAACCCACCAAACUGUCUCCCGGAGUGGCUGUGCCCACGUGCCCCUCCCACCAGCAGUGCACCAGAGUUCCUGUGGCUCCCCAACCUCGUCAACUUUUGGCACCGUCAGUGCUCUGGAUUUGGGCCAUUCUCACAUGUGUGCUGGUGUCUCGUUGCUGUUUUAAGGUGUACGACUGGAACAUCUUCGUACGUGUGCUCGCGGGCUGUCUGUGUGUCUUCUGUGACGAGGUAUUUUUCCAGCCGUUUCAACUCACCUGCUACUGGCUGCCAUCUUCACUCACCACCAGGCAUCUUUACCCAUCAGAGGGUGGAGGGGGUCCUGACGUGCACCCGCAGUUCUCCUGGUCCAGUCUGGGGAGCAGCCAGCCUGCCCAUGCAGUCUGGGAACGCCCAGAAGCCCAGUGUCCACUACACGCUAGCUCCUCCCUCCUUUAUCUGGGGAUCCCUAGGGCCCCUGAGUGUGGCUGCCAAUUUCCAGGACAAUGAGGCGGUGGGCCCUGCACAGCACUGGCCCACAAGCGUGGGCAGGUCCCACUGUCAGGAUGUCCAGCCACUCUCCCCUCUGCCUAGUUGGACUGAGAGUCCCUGAGGUUAGAGCCUGGCUUGCUUGUCCCCAGGCCCCAGCAUCAACACAGACAGGAACUGCUGCUGCCUUGUUGGCAGACAUUGGAGGACACGUGUGCCCAGCACAGCGGGAUCGCCCGCCCUGUGGAACAGGGUGGAGGGAAGAGGCCUGGUCUCUCGGGCACUUCACCCAAUGACUGGUAACUCCCCGCCAGCUGCCCAGAGCCUGGGAUGUGGCGGGGUGGGGGUAGGGGUUCCUCUGGGGACAUGAGGGGGCCGGAUGAGGUUGGGGUCCCAUCUCACCACUCCCCAGCCCAGCUUCAGCUGGCGGGAGAUGGACCUCUUUCCCUGUAGGGCAGGGUCCCAGAUGCCUCCCUUCUGGGCUUGGAAGGGGGCUCCCCCUCCUGGGGAGGGGCGCAUGUGUGUCUGAGCACGUGGACUUUGUUUCUGAGCAGCAGAAGUGUCCCUGGCAGGGCAGCCUGGUCAGGGCUGGGGGCCCCGGGAGCUUCCCGUCUAAGGGAAUUUGCUUGUUCUCUGCCUCUUUGCUGUGAUCAAAUGCAGCAGGGGCUAUACUUUCCCUUCUGUAGCCUUCGUGGUAGGAAUACCAACUUCAGCCCAGGGGGUAGUUUGGUUACUGAACUGCUGUGUGGUCUUGGGUCAGGUGCUUAACCUCUCUGAGCCUGGGCUAAUAACACCCAUCUCCUAAGGCUGUUCUGAGAAUCCAAUGAAUUAAUAUCCGAGAAGGCAAAGUGUCCAUAACACGAGUUAUUUCUUGUUCGGGUCUGAACACCGGGCUCGCUUGCCUUGCUGGUCCCCGAUACGCACUGAGCACAGGAGACAAGGCUGGAUGCUGAGCUCUCUGCAGAUGCAGGACUGAGCUCUGCACAGUGCAGUGACGUAGGUUCUUUGGGAAUCGAAUAUCGGCACAUGUGACACAACAGGCCAUUGUGCCCAACAGGCUGGGGCAGUGCGCAUUCCUUCUGGAUGCUUCGGAGGAAAGGAGAUGGUUCCUGGUUGGACAUAAAAAGUGGAAAGCCCGUCUCUCUUCUGAUGUGGUUGCUGCUGCCUGGUGCUGCAGAGGGGCUUGGCCUGAGCAGAAGAAAGCAGGCGUUGUGUGCUGUUCGUAUAUUGAUUGACUCAUCAAAUGAUCUGCCUCAGCGGCCUGCAUGUGUUUACAGGGUGAAAAUUAAAGCCACAGAUGUUUACUGUAUAAUAGGAUUUGAAAUCUGUUCUGGGGGGCUGGGGGGAGGUGGGGCGAGCAAGCGUGGAAACCACUGGGCCAAGAAUGAGAAAAACACUUUUGCAUGAGGGAGGAUUUGGUUCAGUAAGUAACACAUGGUGCUUGCUGUCAAAUGUUAACAAGAAACACGGGCCGUCUCUCCCUUUUGGCCGGUGUUGGCUUGUGUGUCCACCUCCCGGGCUUGCGCCCGUGCCGUGUGUUGAUGGGGCACCUUCUAAAGUGGGUUCGUUUUCUAGAGAGCUGCUUCUGAAAGGGAGCACCCCGCCUGACUGUCCAUCAUGAGCGCUGAUGCCGGCCUGGGGCCACCAGCUCCCUUCCCGCGCAUCUACUGACGGCCGUGGCCGGCCCUGCGGCCAGGACAGCCCGUCCGACUGGACCUUGAAUGGGGGCGGGGGGGGGGCCUCCUGUGCCUCCCGUCUUGACUCAGGCCACGUCCCUGCUGUCUGUUGCUUGAGGCCAGAUCUCUGCUGUCACUGUUCUCUGUGACGUGAUUUCCUUUGUCUUGCCAGAGCCUCUAAGCCGCGCAACAGAGAGAGAUUUUUUCAGGGGUCAGGGCAACAGAAACCCCCCCUUUUCUCCGUGGAGUUUCCCCCACUUCCCCCUGGCCCUGCCGGCUUUAAGAGGGUCUCAAAGUGGGAAGGUCGAAGGCCACUGGUCCAGCGGUGGCCCCUGGGAGGCCCAGGAGGGAACUUCCUUCCGGGAAACCUCUCCUCCCGGGGGCUCGAGUGCCCCCACUUCGUGUGUGUUUUCUCUUUCCUUAUGUUUUUCUCUUCAACCGGCUCUGAUUGGCUUCACCGCAGAUGAGCAUUUUCCAUUACGCGUCCUAAUGUGUUUUUUUUAAACCAAAUCUCCCUUCACAGAUUGCUGUCUUUAUAAUAUAGGAAUUAUUUCUCAGUCACUUUAAAAGUCCUGCUUCAUUAGCUUGGUGACUGUUUGGUAAUUUGCAAAGUCACUUUCACAAGUUUUAAUACUGCCCGGUUGAGAAUCACAGCCAUAAAUGUAUUCGAUCUUAAUAGUGCUAUGAUUCCGUCUGAAGUGGAAAAAAAAAAAA
This 6575-nucleotide long non-coding RNA is filed under the name Sus scrofa (pig). RNAcentral describes it as "lncRNA (ENSSSCG00050068604.1)". The record is from RNAcentral. Lineage: Eukaryota; Metazoa; Chordata; Mammalia; Artiodactyla; Suidae.